This 253-nucleotide ribosomal RNA is filed under the name uncultured bacterium. RNAcentral's name for it is "partial 16S ribosomal RNA". It matches the Rfam family "Bacterial small subunit ribosomal RNA", at positions 524 to 776 of the family's 1533-position model. The record is from RNAcentral.
GACGAACCGUGCAAACGUUGUUCGGAAUCACUGGGCUUAAAGGGCGCGUAGGCGGGCCAUCAAGUCAGGGGUGAAAUCCUCCAGCUUAACUGGAGAAUAGCCUUUGAUACUGGUGGUCUCGAGUGAGGUAGGGGCAUGCGGAACUGAUGGUGGAGCGGUGAAAUGUGUUGAUAUCAUCAGGAACUCCGGUGGCGAAAGCGGCGUGCUGGACCUCUACUGACGCUGAGGCGCGAAAGCCAGGGGAGAGAACGGG